This 325-nucleotide ribosomal RNA is filed under the name Rhogostoma sp. Its description in RNAcentral is "SSU rRNA". It matches the Rfam family "Eukaryotic small subunit ribosomal RNA", at positions 630 to 955 of the family's 1831-position model. The record is from RNAcentral. Lineage: Eukaryota; Cercozoa; Thecofilosea; Cryomonadida; Rhogostomidae.
UGUACCUGUCCCUAUACGGUUAACGUAUAUGUGUGACGGUUUGUAUAUCUAUCAUCCUUCUAGAUUCUAUUAUUGUGGAUAAUUCAUUUUAUUCACGGUAAUAUUACAGGAUCUAGAUGUUUUACUUUGAAAAAAUUAGAGUGUUUCAAGCAGGCAUUUAUGCUAUGAAUACAUUAGCAUGGAAUAAUAAUCUAGGACUUCGGUUCUAUUUUGUUGGUUUCUAUAACUGAAGUAAUGAUUGAUAGGGAUAGUUGGGGGUGCUAGUAUUGGCCGGCCAGAGGUGAAAUUCUUGGAUUCGGUCAAGACUAACUUAUGCGAAAGCAUU